UUACAACUUUUGAAGACUCAUUCUAAAACUUUAAGAUAAAAUUGAUGCACGUGAUACAUUAACACCAUUGUAGAAUUUUUCAAUAUAUAGAUAAAUAAAAUACCAACAAACAACAAAAGCACUAAAACUUAGAAUGGAAAGAGCAUAGGUUUGUAUCAUAAUUCCUAUAUCAGUUAUUUAUCUAUUUCUUUUUUUAAAUUUUGACAGCUAAACCAAAUAAUCUAACUGAACCUGCUCCCCAUGUCACUGGUUUGGUUAGGACACUUGGUUUCUUGAUCAAACUCUGUCGGUUUCGGCAAUGGAGUUCUGCAAAUGGGCACGGUUGUUAAGCUUGGACUAGAACAACUCCAACUCGGGUACAAUCGUUGGAGGAACUCGGUGUCUCUUUGCAGUUUAGUCAAGACUUCCUCAGCUGAGGUAAUGUAUGCCUCUAUUCCAUUUGCGUCUUUGGUCUCAAUAAAAAUUACUAGGUUGUUGAAGUUGAGUCCUGGCAACCUCGCGUACACCCAUGAUGGUUUUCCCCAACCAAAAUCGUUAUCAUAUAAAGGAAAUUUGCACAAACCAGUAAAUAAAGAUGUAACCUUCUCUCCUCCAUCACUACUGGUCAUGUUAUCAUGAUCAGCACCCCCUUGAAGCUUUUUGAUAUAGCCCUUAUCGAUCUUGCUUAUUGCUUCUCGAACCUGCCUUGCUAGGCCGUAGCAUUCUUCUCUAGUAUUCAACAACGAAGGAGUUGAACAUGCAAAACUGAUCAGAUUUCCAAAUGAGUGUAGCGGCAGAGGUGGAUCAAACCUGGGACGAAGGUUCACAACAUGGAUGACGCUGUGCAACUUCUCAUGAAUGCCAUCAUCAUUGGAAAUGGCUACAAAUCUGCUCCAUAUGAAAGCCGAAAGGGCUUCAACGCGUGAAGGGCGCUUCAUCG
This 919-nucleotide long non-coding RNA is filed under the name Fragaria vesca (wild strawberry). Its description in RNAcentral is "long non-coding RNA (FVES_LNC002239)". Lineage: Eukaryota; Viridiplantae; Streptophyta; Magnoliopsida; Rosales; Rosaceae. The record is from RNAcentral.